RNAcentral lists this ribosomal RNA (307 nucleotides) under uncultured eukaryote. Its description in RNAcentral is "partial 18S ribosomal RNA". It matches the Rfam family "Eukaryotic small subunit ribosomal RNA", at positions 1470 to 1796 of the family's 1831-position model. The record is from RNAcentral.
CCCUUAGACGUUCUGGGCCGCACGCGCGCUACACUGACACAGGCGACGAGCUUUCCUUUACCGAAAGGUAUGGGUAAUCUUUUGAAACUGUGUCGUGCUGGGGAUAGAUCCUUGCAAUUUUUGAUCUUAAACGAGGAAUUCCUAGUAAGCGCGAGUCAUCAACUCGCGUUGAUUACGUCCCUGCCCUUUGUACACACCGCCCGUCGCUACUACCGAUUGAAUGGCUUAGUGAGGCCUCAGGAUCCGCGCUUAAUGUGUGGAGAAUUUGGACAAACUACGUCAUUUAGAGGAAGUAAAAGUCGUAACA